Molecule: ribosomal RNA, 325 nt
Filed under: uncultured eukaryote
Lineage: Eukaryota
Description: partial 18S ribosomal RNA
Rfam family: Eukaryotic small subunit ribosomal RNA
Source: RNAcentral
CCCUUAGAUGUUCUGGGCCGCACGCGCGCUACACUGACGAUUUCAACAAGUCCUCCCUUGGUCGGAAGGCCUGGGUAAUCUUUUGAAUGAUCGUCGUGAUGGGGAUAGAUUCUUGGAAUUAUUAAUCUUCAACGAGGAAUCUCUAGUAAACGCAAGUCAUCAGCUUGCAUUGAUUACGUCACUGCCCUUUGUACACACCGCCCGUCGCACCUACCGAUUGAAUGGUCCGAUGAAAUCUUCGGACUGCCAAGCGCUGUUGUUCGCAAGAGCGCUUAGCGGAAUGUUGCUUGAAUCUUACCAUUUAGAGGAAGGUGAAGUCGUAACA